UCCGAGUUGUCCCCGGCAGUCCUCUUAGAGUCCCCGGCAUUACCCGCUGGCAACUAAGGACAGGGGUUGCGCUCGUUGCGCCACUUAAGGCAACACCUCACGGCACGAGCUGACGACAGCUAUGCACCACCUGUGCAGGCUCCGAAGAGCACCCGCUUUCACGGGUUUCACCCUGCAUGUCAAGCCCAGGUAAGGUUCUUCGCGUUGCAUCGAAUUAAGCCGCAUGCUCCGCCGCUUGUGCGGGCCCCCGUCAAUUCCUUUGAGUUUUAACCUUGCGGCCGUACUCCCCAGGCGGUCAACUUCACGCGUUAGCUUCGGCACAGAAGGGGUUAAUACCCUCUACACCCAGCACUCAUCGUUUACAGCUAGGACUAC
Molecule: unclassified non-coding RNA, 375 nt
Filed under: uncultured Actinomycetes bacterium
Lineage: Bacteria; Bacillati; Actinomycetota; Actinomycetes
Description: uncultured actinobacterium contains 16S-23S intergenic spacer region
Source: RNAcentral